UUGGUUAUAAGAUAUAACAGCCUUUUCUAAUUGGCUGAAUUCAAAUACAGAAAGUUUACCUGUUAGAUUGAAACAUGAAACAUGGUGGACAAUGUACUGGUUUAACUUGUUAAAAUAAAGUUAAAGAAAUUUAACAAACAGAAGAGUUCAUUAGUUUUUCCAUUAAAAACACUUUCUUAAAAUACUUAUGUAUUUAUAUCAUUUGGAAAGUGACAUGAAAUAUUGCUAAAGAGUGAUGCAUACAGUGUUUGAGCAGUCUGUCUAGGAAUAGAACAACAACUGAAGUUGAUGGAAGAUACUGCAGAGUUUGGCAGGGAAAUAAUCCAACAGCAAAGCGGCUCUUUAAGCGCAUUUACCUAGAUCGAGGACUUACAGGGCCACAAAUUCAUGAGCACAUGUGAGCAGUAUACAAUGUACCUCAUACCAAAAAGGACCCGGAGGCAGUGACUGGUGUUCAAUAUUCUCAGAAGAAAUGGAAAAUGGCAGUGGAAGACUUGGACAAACAUUUUUUUUAACUAGCCUCUGUGUUAAGCCUGGCAGUCUGUGGCUGGUGACAUGUUUUAUUUUGGUUACUUCUUGUAUAAAAAGACCAGUUAUUUAUUUUGUGAAUUGUAU
Molecule: long non-coding RNA, 615 nt
Organism: Dreissena polymorpha
Lineage: Eukaryota; Metazoa; Mollusca; Bivalvia; Myida; Dreissenidae
Exons: 3
Source: RefSeq, a predicted model, not a curated record